RNAcentral lists this small nuclear RNA (163 nucleotides) under Cervus hanglu yarkandensis (Yarkand deer). RNAcentral's name for it is "U1 spliceosomal RNA (ENSCHYG00000010388.1)". It matches the Rfam family "U1 spliceosomal RNA". From Rfam's summary of the family: U1 is a small nuclear RNA (snRNA) component of the spliceosome (involved in pre-mRNA splicing). Its 5' end forms complementary base pairs with the 5' splice junction, thus defining the 5' donor site of an intron. Lineage: Eukaryota; Metazoa; Chordata; Mammalia; Artiodactyla; Cervidae. The record is from Rfam by way of RNAcentral.
AUACUUACCUGGCAGAGGAGAUACCAUUAUCAAGAAGGUGGUUCUCCCAGGGCGAGGCUCACCCAUUGCACUCCGGUGUGUUGACCUCUGCCAUUUCCUCAAAUAGGGGAAACUCGACUGUGUAAUUUAUGGUAGUGGGGGACUGCGUGCCCGCUUUCCCCUG